This 460-nucleotide ribosomal RNA is filed under the name uncultured bacterium. Its description in RNAcentral is "partial 16S ribosomal RNA". It matches the Rfam family "Bacterial small subunit ribosomal RNA", at positions 338 to 795 of the family's 1533-position model. The record is from RNAcentral.
CCUACGGGUGGCAGCAGUGAGGAAUAUUGGUCAAUGGCCGUAAGGCUGAACCAGCCAAGUCGCGUGCAGGAAGACGGAUCUAUGGUUUGUAAACUUCUUUUAUAGGGGAAUAAAGGUAUCCACGUGUGGCUAUUUGCAUGUACCCCAUGAAUAAGCAUCGGCUAAUUCCGUGCCAGCAGCCGCGGUAAUACGGAGGAUGCGAGCGUUAUCCGGAUUUAUUGGGUUUAAAGGGAGCGUAGGUUGUUUUUUAAGUCUGCGGUGAAAGUUUGUGGCUCAACCAUAAAAUUGCCGUUGAAACUGGAAGGCUUGAGUGUGUUUGAGGUAGGCGGAAUGCGUGGUGUAGCGGUGAAAUGCAUAGAUAUCACGCAGAACUCCGAUUGCGAAGGCAGCUUACUAAGCCAUAACUGACACUGAAGCACGAAGGCGUGGGGAUCGAACAGGAUUAGAUACCCGUGUAGUC